This 497-nucleotide ribosomal RNA is filed under the name uncultured bacterium. RNAcentral's name for it is "partial 16S ribosomal RNA". It matches the Rfam family "Bacterial small subunit ribosomal RNA", at positions 28 to 507 of the family's 1533-position model. The record is from RNAcentral.
GAUGAACGCUGGCGGCGUGCCUAAUACAUGCAAGUCGAGCGAACAGACGAGGAGCUUGCUCCUCUGACGUUAGCGGCGGACGGGUGAGUAACACGUGGAUAACCUACCUAUAAGACUGGGAUAACUUCGGGAAACCGGAGCUAAUACCGGAUAAUAUAUUGAACCGCAUGGUUCAAUAGUGAAAGACGGUUUUGCUGUCACUUAUAGAUGGAUCCGCGCCGCAUUAGCUAGUUGGUAAGGUAACGGCUUACCAAGGCGACGAUGCGUAGCCGACCUGAGAGGGUGAUCGGCGACACUGGAACUGAGUCACGGUCCAGACUCCUACGGGAGGCAGCAGUAGGGAAUCUUCCGCAAUGGGCGAAAGCCUGACGGAGCAACGCCGCGUGAGUGAUGAAGGUCUUCGGAUCGUAAAACUCUGUUAUUAGGGAAGAACAAAUGUGUAAGUAACUAUGCACGUCUUGACGGUACCUAAUCAGAAAGCCACGGCUAACUACGUG